GACGAACGCUGGCGGCGUGCCUAAUACAUGCAAGUGGGACGCAAGGGAACACACUGUGCUUGCACACCGUGUUUUCUUGAGUCGCGAACGGGUGAGUAACGCGUAGGUAACCUGCCUAUUAGCGGGGGAUAACUAUUGGAAACGAUAGCUAAUACCGCAUAAUAUUAAUUAUUGCAUGAUAAUUGAUUGAAAGAUGCAAGCGCAUCACUAGUAGAUGGACCUGCGUUGUAUUAGCUAGUUGGUAAGGUAAGAGCUUACCAAGGCGACGAUACAUAGCCGACCAGAGAGGGUGAUCGGCCACACUGGGACUGAGACACGGCCCAGACUCCUACGGGAGGCAGCAGUAGGGAAUCUUCGGCAAUGGACGAAAGUCUGACCGAGCAACGCCGCGUGAGUGAAGAAGGUUUUCGGAUCGUAAAGCUCUGUUGUAAGUCAAGAACGUGUGAGAGUGGAAAGUUCACACAGUGACGGUAGCUUACCAGAAAGGGACGGCU
Molecule: ribosomal RNA, 494 nt
Filed under: Streptococcus mutans
Lineage: Bacteria; Bacillati; Bacillota; Bacilli; Lactobacillales; Streptococcaceae
Description: bacterial SSU rRNA
Rfam family: Bacterial small subunit ribosomal RNA
Source: RNAcentral